Molecule: long non-coding RNA, 167 nt
Organism: Strigops habroptila (Kakapo)
Lineage: Eukaryota; Metazoa; Chordata; Aves; Psittaciformes; Psittacidae
Exons: 3
Source: RefSeq, a predicted model, not a curated record
CUGCAUUUGGCUGCAGCUUUGAGCAAAUUGACUGUAAUUCAGAGUGAAGGUGUGGGAGGGUGAAUAUAUUAUUACUCUGUUUUUCUAGCUGGUGUGUUCUGGCUGGUGUGAUCUUGUCUAGCAGGUGAGUUUUUCUGUGUCUUCUAGCACGCUUCAGCUUACAGUUG